CCUACGGGUGGCUGCAGUGGGGAAUAUUGGACAAUGGGCGAAAGCCUGAUCCAGCCAUGCCGCGUGUGUGAAGAAGGCCUUCGGGUUGUAAAGCACUUUCAGUGGGGAAGAAAGCCUUGGGGCUAAUACCCUCGAGGAAGGACAUCACCCACAGAAGAAGCACCGGCUAACUCCGUGCCAGCAGCCGCGGUAAUACGGAGGGUGCGAGCGUUAAUCGGAAUUACUGGGCGUAAAGCGCGCGUAGGCGGUCUGAUAAGCCGGUUGUGAAAGCCCCGGGCUCAACCUGGGAACGGCAUCCGGAGCUGUCAGGCUAGAGUGCAGGGGAGGAAGGUAGAAGUCCCGGUGUAGCGGUGAAAUGCGAAGCGAGCGGGAGGAGUACAAGUGGCGAAGGCGGCCUUAUGGACUGACACUGACGCGGAGGUGCGAAAGCGUGGGUAGCAAACAGGAUUAGAUACCCGUGUAGUC
Molecule: ribosomal RNA, 465 nt
Filed under: Vreelandella stevensii
Lineage: Bacteria; Pseudomonadati; Pseudomonadota; Gammaproteobacteria; Oceanospirillales; Halomonadaceae
Description: partial 16S ribosomal RNA
Rfam family: Bacterial small subunit ribosomal RNA
Source: RNAcentral